This 301-nucleotide ribosomal RNA is filed under the name uncultured bacterium. RNAcentral describes it as "partial 16S ribosomal RNA". It matches the Rfam family "Archaeal small subunit ribosomal RNA", at positions 459 to 760 of the family's 1478-position model. The record is from RNAcentral.
CAGUCGCCACGGGAAAACCAGCACCUCGAGUGGUCAGGAGGUUUAUUGGGCCUAAAGCAUCCGUAGCCGGUUGCAUAAGUUUUCGGUUAAAUCUAUGCGCUCAACGUAUAGGCCGCCGAAAAUACUGUGCAGCUAGGGAGUGGGAGAGGUACACGGUACUCAGUAGGAAGGGGUAAAAUCCUUUGAUCUAUUGAUGACCACCUGUGGCGAAGGCGGUGUACCAGAACACGUUCGACGGUGAGGGAUGAAAGCUGGGGGAGCAAACCGGAUUAGAUACCCCAGUAGUCCCUGUCUCUUAUAU